UUUUCUCGCAAUUCCAUACGAGGGCUCAAUGUAUUUCCUUACUAUGAAUGGUUCCUCUAUAAUCUCUCUCCAUCUUUGUUACAACAGCUACUAGCUAACCCUAAACAGAUCUCAAGUUACAGAGCACCAAACUUGAAGUGGAAACGCAAAGGCUAAAUUUCAGCUAACUGAAAAAGACCUGAACACAACACCUGACAUAGAAAAUUGCAGCACAUAUUUCUCCAUAUUUUACACAGUAGUAAACCCCACUCCUCUGAUGAAGCUUGUUCACCUUCAUCUGGUCUUUGACUUUUCUAUACAACUGGUAACCCAAAACCUCAUGAACUGGUCAUAGGAGAGCUCCAAACUGAGCAAUCUGCUGCAAUCCAGUUUUCAGCUAAUCUGAACAAAAAUUCAGUCAGUGCAAACUCACAGUCCAUUUUUGGGCAGCUUUCACUCUAUUUUCCAUACACCCCCAAAUCAAACCUACUUAGGGCUUGUUCGGUUAUUCCUAUCCCAUAUGGAUUGGAUGAGAUUGGAAAAUUUUGUGAAAGAUUUUGACUUGUUUGGGAUUGAAACCCGUCCAAUCCCACCCAAUCCACAUGGAUUGAGAGCAAAACGAACAGACCCUUAAGGAGAAUGGUUUACCAUCAUAUGAGCUUCUCUAUCUUAUGCAGAGCACAAAAUAUGCACAACUCGACUGAGAAAACCCUUGAAGUUACCUGGUCACGGCGAGGUGGACUAACUGCCGAUGAUGGUCACCACCUAGGGACUGGUACACCAAGCUCUGGGCAGAUGGACCAAGAUAUUGGGAGGGGAUUAACUCCGAGGAAACAUAGGCUACAAGAGCCAAGGAGAUCACUCGAGCUCUAGGACUGCACGGCCUACUGGACCAUGACUUAAGUAGGAGAUGGGAAGACUAGGGCAGAUCGAGUUGGUGGCUGGGAAGAGGAGCUUAGACUUACAAACACGAACCGCUAAGACACCAAGUGAAGCAACUAAAACUUGAGAACAGCAGGGAUUACAGCAGCAGUAUUUAAGCAAAGGGAUGGGGAGACAGAUGUUCCAGAGCUCGGCCAGGACAUGAUGGAGGAGGACGCCGGGGACGCCAGCAGCCCCACGAUUAUGGACACGUAGCAG
Molecule: long non-coding RNA, 1119 nt
Filed under: Zea mays
Lineage: Eukaryota; Viridiplantae; Streptophyta; Magnoliopsida; Poales; Poaceae
Description: long non-coding RNA (ZMAY_LNC000821)
Source: RNAcentral